Long non-coding RNA from Hemicordylus capensis (graceful crag lizard), 813 nucleotides. RefSeq lists it as uncharacterized. The record is from RefSeq and is a predicted model, not a curated record. NCBI's taxonomy places the organism in Eukaryota, Metazoa, Chordata, Lepidosauria, Squamata, Cordylidae. The transcript is spliced from 3 exons.
CAGUAUCCUAGCAGCAGGGAAGGCCAGGCAGGGGUUGUGAGUGAACAUGGAUCACCAAAAAGAUAACCUGUUACAGGAGGAUGGUAUCUAACAGGUGACAUUCCAGGCCAUCAGAUUCAACGACUGGAAAUUGGGAUGAAAAACGUGGCCCACCUGCUGGGAGAGAAGAUUUUGGUGGAGCGGCAAAUGUUGGUGAUGGCCUUGAAACAACUGGAGAAGGACCGGGAACCAUGGUUGUCCUGGCCACCACAGGGCAAAUAUGUGUUGGAAGCUCUGAGCAAGCACAAACCCAAAUGCACGGUACACAAGGACAAAAAAAGAAUGCUACUUGCCACGCACACCUUUAAUGGUUAAGACCUCAGCUGUACAUAUCUUACAAGUAGUUACCAAGAUCUCAUUUUACAUUCUAACCUCCACUGUCCUAAGAGGGAGCUUUAAGCAUUUAAAAAUGCAAGUUUAGUAUUAACAUGUCCACAAGACACUAAACCUAGUUCUAUCACAUCUUUCCUGAAGGGUUUACUAGCACAAUCUAGUACAACUACCACAACUGAUUGGUGAGAGAUUUUUGAAACUAUAAUUCUUGUUUUAAAAUGGUUAGGCAGUGUGUCAGAUUGAGGCUCUUACCAAUUUAAUAGGGUGUUUGGAUUUCUAUUGGUAAAAAACACACCAGAAUUUGUAAAGUGCAGAAAAAUAAAUUAACGCCGCAUUCUGACAUUUAAUCAGUUAAUAAGCCAAAAUAAAUGCAGCUGUUAAUCACUUUGACAAUCACAAGACAGAAAUAUGGUUCUGCUACAUCAUAUAUUUAUAGCGCUG